This is a long non-coding RNA of Cercocebus atys (sooty mangabey), 575 nucleotides long. RefSeq lists it as uncharacterized. The transcript is spliced from 2 exons. The record is from RefSeq and is a predicted model, not a curated record. NCBI's taxonomy places the organism in Eukaryota, Metazoa, Chordata, Mammalia, Primates, Cercopithecidae.
CCUCCAGCCAGUUCUUGUCCACCUCCUUGUGGAUGUAGACAAUGUCACCCUUCUGCAGAGUCAGCUCCCUGCAGGCGAGGACCGCAUGGUGUGGCCCGACCCUCUCCUGCGGGCCAUUUUGCUAAAUCCUGCACAUGUGUUUGGUCUGGCCCCAUGACUGUGGCUAUGUGCAUCUGUUCAGCUUUGAAGAAGCUGGUCUUUCUGGGUGCUGUGGCUGAGUGAUCGUACACCCACCGGCAAGGAAAGCCAGAGGCAGCCCUGCCCUGCAGCUCUGGGCAAGUUAUUUCUGCUCGCUGGGCCUAGUUCCAUGAGGGUGCUGGAUUCAGUGACUCCAUCUGUGAGACUACCCCAGCCACUGCAGUACAGCAUGGUCACAUCUGCCUUAGCUCCCCUCCAGGGCCCCAUUCCUGGCUGGCUUACAUGGAACGUUCCAGUCUCUGUUUGAAAGUUUCCACCGAGAGGAACCGCUGCAUCCGGCUUAUCAAAUAAUGCAAUGUCUGACCAAGGGUUGGGAUUUGUUGGCUGUAAUUAUGACUCCAUUCUGAUUUUGGUAAUAAUAAAAGUGACAGUGAGAA